UGGACCAGUGGUGACGGCUGGUGGCGUGGGAGGUGUGGAUGAUGAAUACUACAUGUUUUGAACCCUGACGUCCAA
Diceros bicornis minor is the source of this 75-nucleotide small nucleolar RNA. RefSeq annotates it as small nucleolar RNA SNORD113/SNORD114 family. NCBI's taxonomy places the organism in Eukaryota, Metazoa, Chordata, Mammalia, Perissodactyla, Rhinocerotidae. The transcript has a single exon. The record is from RefSeq and is a predicted model, not a curated record.